This 297-nucleotide ribosomal RNA is filed under the name uncultured bacterium. RNAcentral's name for it is "partial 16S ribosomal RNA". It matches the Rfam family "Bacterial small subunit ribosomal RNA", at positions 333 to 626 of the family's 1533-position model. The record is from RNAcentral.
GUGUUCCUACGGGAGGCAGCAGUGAGGAAUAUUGGUCAAUGGACGCAAGUCUGAACCAGCCGAGUAGCGUGCAGGAUGACGGCCCUCCGGGUUGUAAACUGCUUUUAGUUGGGAAUAAAAGGGGGCUCGUGAGCCCCGUAUUGUAUGUACCAUCAGAAAAAGGACCGGCUAAUUCCGUGCCAGCAGCCGCGGUAAUACGGAAGGUCCGGGCGUUAUCCGGAUUUAUUGGGUUUAAAGGGUGCGUAGGCGGAUCGUUAAGUCAGUGGUCAAAUUGAGGGGCUCAACCCCUUCCCGCCA